CUAUGCUGAACAAGGUAGGUGGCGGACAGACUGAGGCUUGUACGAUGUUGUACUAUGAUAGCGACCUGUCCUUUCACCAGUUGACUUGAGAUCUGAAGGCUUCAGAUGAACGUUGGUGAAGCUUCUGAUCCUUGUCAGAUUAAAGCUUGGAUUCUUCUGACCUUGCAACUUCUGCUUCUGAACAAGUUCCUCAGAACUUCUGAACGUCAGAGCUAGAAUAGCUUGGGUCUUCAGAACCAACUUCUUGCAGGUCUUCAGAACUUGAGUCUUCUGCUUCUGGACCGUUCCACUGGAACAUCUGGUCUUCAGAACUUCUGACUCUGGUUCUUCAGAACCUCUUGAGAGCUUGUAUCUUCAGAACUUCUGAAGGAUUUGCCACUGUUAUGAACGAACAUGGUACGCUUUAGAGCUCUCUUUUUAGUAUCCCUUGGUUCUUCUUCUUCUGAAUAAAUAGGCUUGGGUCAGAUUCAAAACCUGUUUGUCACAACUAAAAAAGACAAACGUUAGGGUACCACAAUUAUUCAUCAUCACAAACCUUAAUUGUAAUCAUCAAAAUAUAGAGAUGCAUCCACUGAUCAAAUCUUGAUCUUACAAUCUCCCCCUUUUUGAUGAUGACAAAACAAGUAUUUUGAUGAACAAUUCUUAAACAAUAAACUGAAUACACAAAAGAGAAGAGAUCAGAAAUUAAACUUAUCCUUGUGUAACGGUUAGUAUUGCUCAUUCUGAAUCUGGGAUAACACCUGAUUCUGAGCUGGGGUCUCCCCCUGAAUCUAUGACUUGAUGAGAUGAUGAAGAGUCUAGAUUCGGAGUCUUGGUGAUGUGAUCAGAAGAUACGCGUAUAAGGAUGUAUACUCAUCAGAAGUGAUGGUUCAGAACUUGCGUAGAUCACAAAAAAAAACAUAGAGUCUUGUCCAGAUAUAAUUGGAAUAAGGCGUCAGAAGCAAAUUAGUUCAGAAUAUGAACAGAAUGUAUUCCUUAUUUGAGACGCUUGACAAUAUCUAUGUGCUAUAAGUAUUUGAUACUUAUUCUCCUCUACUGGUUUUAUAUAAUGUAAGAGCGUUUAUCAAAACCAUUUUAUGUACUCCCCCUUUUUGUCAUAAUCAAAAAGAGUGAAAAACAAAGUUACAAACGACAAUAACAACAAGGAAAUGAUGCAAGGGAAGCUGUUAUUAUUGCUGAACGGAGAAAGAGUACAGAGGAUAGAGAGGAAUGAAGAAAACUAAUCCUAGAUACAUAGGAAAGCACGAGAAUUCUUCAUGGAGAGAAGUUGAAGAUGUAGGGGACGCAUGUCCUGAUCAAUUGAGGUCAUCUGGGUAGCCAGGUCUUCCUUCAGAGCUUCAUUCUCUCGGACCGCAUCUUGAUCCGCUUCGUUGUGAUCGUCUUCAUAUUCCAGAAGCAUACAAAUGCCCUGGAACUGAUCUUCAACGUCCUUCCGGCGUGUGGUCAGACGAAAGAGGUCAUUCAGAACUUCUUGAAGGUUCUGAAGACAGUGAGUCUGAUGGGAUGUCAGCCAACACUUCAGAAGAUUCUCAAUCUUCUCAAGAGCUUGAGAAAUCUGAGACGAAGAGAGAUUAAUGCUCCAUGGAAAGACUUGGUCAAAUACCAUAGUCUUGAGUUCAGAAAUUAAUUCUACAGAAGUCAUUCUUGAAGUAGAAUUGAGAGAAGAGUGAAAUGGCUGAGGUGAAGUGAAUUGCGGUGUGAUGGAGAAGAAGGAUUGCAGAGAUUAUAAGGAGGAAAAGUAACAGAAAAACAUGCAUAAAACUUAACAAAUCAUAAAAGCAUGUGAGUUACUAAGUGGACGGUGCAUUGAAUAAUAAAAUGAGAAAUUAACACAGUCAACAUGAAAUAAAAUCACUCAAAACAAAUAAAUGCAUGCAAGAUAGAUGAGAGGGGUUUCAAGGCUUGGAAGAAGAGGGAAGAUGCUCGAUCAGGAAUUUCAUCAUAUCUUCCAUUCUGCGGGAGGAUUUCUGAAUCUGCCUGCUCUGUUCAAUCUGAACCAGUCCUUGCUGCUCAACCAUCUGAAACAGUCUCUGCUGAUCAUCUUGAAUGCGGUCAAUUCUGGCAGUAAGAGUAGUAACUUCUGGAGCUGGAACUGAAGUAGGAACUUCUGGGGCUUGAGCAUGAGCAGCAACUUCAACCUCUGAUGACAUUUCAGCAUCAACUUGAAUUAGCCCUUGCUUCUCAACUUCAUUAGCUUCUGCAUCUUCCAGAAUCACUAUGCCGUCAGAGCUGUCCUCUGCAACCUCUGCUGGAAUCAUCUCAGCAUCUUCUAAGGUACAUUCAGAGACAACAUAUUGUCUUUCAGCCAUAGCUCUUCUCAAGGGUGCACAGACUCUGUGUAGCACUCUCUGCCUUUGCUCAUAGGCUCUCUCAGAUGCAUCAUGAACUCUUAGUCUUUUCUCCUUGCUAAGCUGCUUCUGAAGUUCAUGAGCUUUGCCUUCUGACCAUCUUUCGAAGGCAGACCAUAGACCAUCAACAAGAGAGGCAUCAAACUGAUUAUCAGUUACCUGAUAUAACCAUUUCAGUCUUCUGGUGGCCUCUUCAGAGAACUCCUGAAUGAGUUGAAUAAGAUUUUGAGGUCUGAAGGAGGUUGCCAAGGUCAGAACAGGCUGAGAAGUUCUGGUUGCAUUGGAGCUUGAAGCAUUUGAGCUAUCAGGUCUGGGUUGUUCUGAAUGAAUAGAACCAAUGUCAUGAUCCUUCUCUAUGUCUGAGUGAUCUGAUUCAUCCAUGUGCUCAGCUUCAAAGAUCGUUACUUGCCUUUGCCUUGAGGUAGCCGUCUUCUCAGGUGAGGUAAAACUCAGAUCCUGUGAGUUGACUGCAGAAUAGUUGGACAAGGACACAUAGGAAGUUUCAGGAACAUCUUGAAGCUGGUCUUCAAAGUUGGAAGCUACUUGUUGAAGAGGCUUCACAUUGAAGGGCGGUUCAAGGAUCUGAACAUCAUCACCCUCUUUUUCUGCCUCAGCAGGGAUCUCACCAGUUUGAGUUAUCAGAACGGUGUGUGAAGUGGAUGGAGGUUUGGGAGUGAAUUGUUGAACCAAAGUUCUCAGAGUGGCCUUGCUUUGAACAAUACCUUGAAUGAAGGAAUUGAAAGGAGGUACAGGUUCAGUUGUGGUGGAUGUGGAAGAGGUGUGAAUUGGGAUGGAAGGGAUGGCAGUGGUAGCUGUUUGGAUGGUUGAUUUAGGAGCUUGUGUUUCAGCUUGUGUUUUAGGUUGAGUGGGUGCUGUUUGGGUUGAGGUAGGCAUGGAGGUAGAUAUAGGCAGGGGUUGUUCAGGAAUAACUACUAAAGCAGAAUCAGAGUUAAUGCUUUCAGUAAUUACCUUACUUGGACUUCUGAUGGGAGUGGUUCUGGUGAGUUUUGCAGCCCUUGCAGGAUCAGAAGUACUCUUUGAUCUUCUUUCCCUUUGUGCUUCUGAAGCAAGGUCAAAUGUCUGCUUUGAUUCUGCCUCUUUCUACUGAAGUGGACCCUUCAGAGGCAGUUUCCUUCUCUUCACUAAGGGUACUUCAUCAGAAUCCGUGGAUUCUUCAGCUUCUGAAGAUUCCCUUAUGACCUGAAGCACAUUCUGGAUGAUCUCAUGGUCAUCCUGCUCAUCUUCUUCCUCAAAAAUAACUUUUCGCCUCUUAGCUAGAGGAACAUCAUCAUCUUCUGUCUCCUCACUUGAGGAUUCUUCCAAGGAGUUCUCAGAGCUUUCGGAGGCAACAUAUUGAGAUUCCUCAUAUGACUCUUCCUGAGUUCUUUCAGGAGAGGGUUCUGGAACUGGUUCCCUGAUGAAUACCGACUUGGAUGCAGCUUUCUUCCUUUUAGGUUCCUCUAUCAGAAUCACUUUGCCCUUGGGAUCUGAAGGCUUGCUGGUUGUUUUCUUUACUCUCCUUGUUGGCAUCUCAGGAGGACUCUCAGGAAGAGUUCUGACAAAAUCCUCAAGAGUGAUUGGAUCUCCAUUCCUUCUGAGCAUUCUCACAUAUUCCAGAAUGCUUGCUGGAUUGUCCUUCUUGGACCAGAGAGGAAAGUCAUCAACAGGAUAGUUCCUCUGACGAACCUCUUCAGAUGUAUCUUCUGUGGGCUCAACUUGGACUUUCUCAAUGAUUUGCAUCCUUUUCAACUUGGUUCCAUUGAGAGCAUCGCCAAUUGUCAUGGUCAGAUCUUCAUGAAGUCCAAGGUCUGAUAGUGUCUUGACUAGUUUGUUCUGAACAAAGAUGUCAGACAGCAACCUUCCAUAAGGAAUGUAAGAGAUGAACCUCUUGUUCUCAGAAGUUGUGGUCCUUGACUUCUCAAUGCAUUCCUUCAGAUAGUUGAAUAGCAGGAAUGGCAGACAUAUAGGUUCACCCGUAGAGAUAUAGUACAUGAUUACCUUUUUAGUUGCAUUCAGGUAAUCAGUUCCUCCAAUUAUGGGGUGAAUGCAGUAGAUGAAGAUCUUCUGCCAGAUUUUCAUUAAAGGCUUCAGAUCCUUUAUUCCAUACUUGGUCCUUGUCUGCGACCAAUUGUCAUAAAUUUCCUUAUUCACUUUAUUCUUCAUCCCAGCAAUAUUAGCAUCAACAUUCUUGAUCCUUUUUCCUUGCUGGAACUCCAUACCCAGUAGCUUGGCAAUGGACUCUUCUGAAAUUACAAUCUUCCUAUCCAGCACAUGGGAGACGACGUAGUAGUCGUUGCAGACUGCAUUUUUCCAGAAUUCUAUAACCAGCUUGGUGUAAAUCGGUCCACAGAGCCUAUCAAAGUAGCCAGACCAUCCUUGCAAGUUGACCUGAUCCCUGAUAUCAAACCCACGAUCAGCCAGGUUGUCGAAAUCCACUCUUGCUUCGUGGCACACAACCAGUUCUUCAGCUUUCUUGACACAAGUGACCACAUUGGGUGUGUCCAGAAUCUGCUGAGCUUCUUCAAAUCUCUGAGUUUCUUGGUCUGCGGCGGUUUGUUUGGAGGAGGCAGUAACAUUUGUCUUUGAUUUCACCAUGAUUCUCGGAUAGUGAGGUUUAGGGUUCAGAGAAAGAGAGGAAUGUUGGAGAGAAGAGUAUAAAUGAAUGCAAUGCACACGAAGAGUUUGAAAACCGUAUGAGUAAGUGUGUGGGAGAUCGUGUGUGAGGAGUGUGUAUAGUGGGUUAGAUGGUAACCGUUGAGAUUUUAAGGAGAGAAAAGAGUCAAAACAAGAUCAACGGUUCUAAAAUAGAUAGUAUGAAAAUAGCAUAGUGGAGGAGAGUAGGCAUCAUCAUUAUAGCAGAUAUACCACGCGACUCAAGGAACUAUGUCACAAAUGAAGUGACACGUGUAUUGUUGCCUACCACAGAAGUUUAACCAGUGGGUUAAGUGCUUCUGAUCGAGUACCUUCUGAAGUGGGUAACAUCUGAUGACUUCAGAAGUACCAAGGUCAGAAGUUCUGAAGAAAACCUUACUCUGGACAAAAGUCCAUGUUCAGGUUUUCAAGAAUAAAUAAAAACCUAUCUUCUGCUAAGGGCUUAGUGAAAAUAUCUGCCCACUGAUGGUCAGUAUCAACAUACUCUAAUGAUAGAGUGCCCUUCUGAACAUGAUCACGAAUAUAAUGAUACUUUACCUCUAUAUGCUUUGCUCUUGAGUGUAGAAUAGGGUUCUUGCUGAGUGAGAUAGCAGCUGUGUUGUCACAGUAAAUAGGAACCUUCUUCAGAGACAAACCAUAGUCCUCCAGAUGAUUCUUUAUCCAUAUGGUUUGUGUACAGCACGUGGCAGCUGAGACAUACUCUGCUUCAGCAGUUGAUAGAGCAAUUGUGUUCUGUCUCUUGCUUGACCAAGUAACAAGAUUCCCUCCAAGAAAAUGGCAGCUUCCAGAGGUGCUUUUUCUUUCCACUCUGUCUCCAGCAAAGUCAGCAUCACAAAAACCUGAAAGUGUAUACUCUGAUGUUUUUCUAUACAUCAAGCCAAGGUUAGUUGUUCCUUUCAGAUAUUUGAGGAUCCUCUUAACAGCAGUUAAGUGAGUCUCUCUAGGAUCUGAUUGGAAUCUAGCACAUAGAUGCACACUAAAUAAUAUAUCAGGUCUGGAGGCAGUUAAGUAAAGAAGAGAGCCUAUCAUUCCACGAUAGAGCUUCUGACAAACCUUAGAGGAAACUUCCUCUUUCUCAAGAAUGCAUGUUGGAUGCAUUGGAGUCUUAGAGAUGUUGUAGUCACUCAUGUUGAACUUCUUCAGAAGUUCCAAGGUGUACUUCUUCUGAUGGAUGUAAGUGACUCCUGGUCGUUGAUCUAUCUGAACUUUAGAAAAUCCCAUUCUUGACACCAUAUUUGAGUUCUCCCAUCAUGCUCAUUUCGAAUUCAGCCUGCAUCAACUUAGAAAAUUCCUUGCACAGAGAGGGAUUAGCAGAACCAAAAAUAAUGUCAUCAACAUAAAUCUGAACUAUAAGAAUAUCAUUCUUAUAGGUUCUGCAGAAAAGAGUAUUGUCACCUUUACCCCUUACAAACUCAUUCUGUAGAAGAAAGGAGCUGAGCCUUUCAUACCACGCUCUAGGAGCUUGUUUCAGUCCAUAGAGUGACUUCUUGAGCUUGUAGACAUGAUCUGGAUAUUUGUCAUCUUCAAAGCCAGGAGGUUGCUUGACAUACACUUCUUCAGAAAUGUAGCCAUUGAGGAAGGCACUCUUGACAUCCAUCUGAUGGAGAACGAUGUUGUGAUUCACUGAGAAGGAGAUCAGUAGCCUUAUAGCUUCAAGCCUUGCUACAAGAGCAAAGGUCUCAGUGUAAUCAAUUCCCUCUUGUUGACUGUAUCCUUGAGCCACCAGUCUUGCCUUGUUUCUUGUUACUUCUCCUUUUUCAUUCAGCUUGUUUCUGAAUACCCACUUGGUUCCUAUGACAUGGAAACCUUUGGGUUUAGGCAUUAAGGUCCAUACAUCAUUCUUGGUGAACUGAUCUAGCUCUUCUUGCAUUGCCAGAAUCCAGCCUUUGUCUUCAAGAGCUUCAUCAAUUGAUUUGGGCUCAAUGAGAGAAACAAGUCCCUUCAGACUCAGAAGAGUCUCUUCUGAAGGUUUGAGCAUUGACCUGGUUCUGACGGGGGCAUCUUUGUUGCCAAUAAUCAGUUCUUCUGGAUGAGAGACAGCUAUUCUUUUCUUCUUCUGAAGCUGAUCAGAAGUUGUUGGAGCAGCUUCAGAUGCUUCUGCCUCUGGAGCAACAUCCUCUGAGCUGUUCUUUGGUUGAUUUGCUUCUGAACAAUCAAUGCUUAAAUCUGCAAAUCUUUCAAACAGCUUUGACUUUUCUGAGCCAAGCUUAUCAUCAAAUCUAAUUUGAAUAGAUUCCUCAACAGUUUGAUGAAUAAUAUUAUAAAUUCUAAAACCUUUAGAUCUUUCAGAAUAACCAAGAAAAUAGCAUUUUAAGGCCUUAGAAUCGAAUUUACCCAAUUGCUCCUUAGUGUUGAGCAUGUAGCAGGUGCUUCCGAAGGGAUGGAAGUAAGAGAUAUCAGGUUGUCUUCCUUUGCAUAGCUCAUAAGGAGUCUUCUCCAGAAUAGGUCUGAUGGAGAUUCUGUUAUGGAUAUAGCAAGCAAUGUUGAUUGCUUCUGCCCAGAAGAGCUUGGCCAUACUUGAUUCUUGCAUCAUGGUGCGAGCCAUCUCCUGAAGAGUUCUGUUCUUUCUUUCAACAACUCCAUUUUGUUGAGGAGUGCGAGGACAAGAGAAGUUGUGAGAGAUUCCUUGGGAGUUGAACAAUUCUUCAAAAGCUUUGUUCUCAAAUUCUCCACCAUGAUCACUUCUGACAGUAAUCACUGAAGUUUGGAACUCCUUCUGAACUUGAGUGAUGAAGUUGGUAAACAUAGUGUGUGUUUCAUCUUUAUGCCUUAAGAAAUUUACCCAUGUCCACCUGCUGUAGUCAUCUACAAUGACUAAUCCAUACUUCUUUCCUCCAAUGGAUUCAGUUUUCACUGGUCCAAAGAGAUCAAUGUGAAGUAGCUCAAGGGGUCUUGUUGUAGAUACCACAUUCUUUGCUUUAAAUGGCUUCUUGGUGAAUUUUCCCUUCUGACAAGCUUCACACAGAGCCUCUGAUGAAUACUUCAUACGAGGCAAUCCUCUGACGAGAUUUAGCUUGCUAAGUUGAGAGAUUUUCCUGAGGCUGGCAUGCCCUAGGCGUCUGUGCCAGAUCCAUUGCUCAUCAUUAACUGACAUGAGACACUUGACCUUCUGAGAUAGCAGUUCAGAAGAUUUGAUUUUGUAAAUAUCAUUUUUCCUCUUCCUAGAAAACAGAACAGAUCCAUCUGUUUGACUGACAGCUUUGCAGCCGGUUUGAUUGAAGAUCACAUUGUAACCUUUGUCAGCAAUUUGGCUUAUGGAGAGCAAGUUAUGAAAUAAUCUUUCCACCAGAAGUACAUCGUUGAUAACUGGAAUUUUUCCAUUUCCUAUGGAACCUUUUCCAAUGAUUUUUCCCUUCUGGUUUCCUCCAAAGCCAACGUCUCCUCCUGACUUAAGCGGUGUCAGUUCUUGGAAUAUAGACCUUGUGCCCGUCAUGUGUCGUGAGCAUCCACUGUCCAGGUACCAUGACAGGUGUCUUAACUGAGCUGCAUAAGAUAUUUGUAACAGGAAUAAUUUUUGCCUUAGGUACCCAUAUCUUGGGUCCUUUCUUGUUAGUUUUCCCAGAAGUUCUUGGAACUUUGGGUGCAACAGGAGGAUAAUGCAAAGGAACUUGAUUAUAGUAUUUAGACAUGUCAAGUUUGAAUUUUCCUUUUGGUUUUACUACCUUUGGUGUAACCUUUUCUGGGAUGACAGUGCCAGCAGGAACGAAAUGCUUAUGCAAAGAUUCGCGUUUGGGCUCAGAUGACUCAUCUCUCAUGGAUUGAGAGUAGCCAAGGCCACUGUUCCCAUUUCUGCUCAUGCCAUAGAUCAUUGAAGCCAUAAGACUUCUGUCUAUGCCCUUGGCAAGGAACUUCUGAAACGCUUUCUCAUAUUUUGUCUCAUACUUAACAUCAGAUGAUGCAAGUUGAUCUUCUAGCACAGCAUUUUUAGCACGAAGAACAGAGUUGUCAUUUUUAAGAGAAUGAUUCUCUUCUGUGAGUUCAGAUACUGACUUCUCAUGAACUUCUGAUGAACUGGUUUUAACAGCAUACUUUCUCUUAAGCUCUUUAUAUUUACUUACUAGAACAUCAUGUUUCUCCAUUAUUUCAGAUAAGGCAGUUCUUAGCUCAGAUGGAGAAAAAUGAGAGAAUACCUCAUCAUCAUUCUCAGAGUUUGAGUCAUCUUCUGAAGCUUCAGCACCUCUGCUGGUGGUAGCCAUCAGAGCCUCCACAGCUUCAUCUUCUUCUGACUUAGCUUCAUCAGAAUCAGUUGCAUCGAAGGUCACGAGAGCUUUCUUCUUGAAGACUUUUCUUGGUCUCUUGUCCUUCUUUAGCUUGGGACAGUCACUCUUGUAGUGCCCAGAUUCCUUGCACUCGAAGCAAGUGACUUCCUUUCCAAAUGAUUUCUUCUGACCAGAUGAAGAUUCAUAUCUUCCUGAACUUUUCUUUGGUCCUUUGCCUUUGCUAUGUCUGUUCUUCUAGAGUUUGCUUAACCUCUUUAUGAAAAGAGACAUCUCUUCAUCACCAGACGCAUCUGAUAGCUCUUCAGAGGAAUCUUCCUCUUCUGCCUGAUAAGCUUUCGCUUUGUCAGACUUUGACUUAAGAGCAAUAGAUUUGUCUUUCUUUUGAGGCUUGUCCUCUUUGAGUUCAAUCUCAUGGCUUCUGAGAUGACUCACGAGUUCUUCUAACUUCAAUGAGUUCAGAUUCCUGGAGAGUUUCAAUGCAGUGACAAAAGCCCUCCAUUCCUUAGGCAAACUUCUGAUGAUCUUUUUGACAUGAUCACCAGUAGAGUAGCCCUUGUUUAGCACUCUGAUUCCAGCAAUCAGAGUUUGAAACCUUGAGUACAUCUCCUCAAUGGUUUCACCAGAUUCCAUCUUAAACUGCUCAUAUCAUUGUAUGAGAGCAAGAGCCUUGGUUUCCUUGACCUCUUCAUUUCCUUCAUGCGUCAUGACCAAGGAGUCAAAGAUGGAUUUUGCUGUUUCUUUGUCAGAGAUCUUCUCAUACUCAAUAUAUGAUAUUGAGCUGAAUAGCAUAGACUUCGCCUUGUGAUGAUCCUUGAAACGCUUCUUCUGAGCGUCAGUCAUUUCAGAACGGGGGAUCUUCACUCCUGAAGCAUCUACUGGAUCAAUAUAGCCUUCAAUGACCAUAUCCCAGAGAUCUGGGUCAGUGCCAAGGAAAUAACACUCUAUUCUAUCUUUCCAGUACUCAAACUUUUCACCAUCAAAAAUUGGUGCUCUGAGUUGAUUGUUGUUGUUGUUGUCAGCGGAAGUGUUGGCUUGGGCCAUUGUUUGUUUUUCACACAAGGUUCUGGAUCAUUGAACACUGUUAGGUGUUUAAAUCAGAACCGGAGCUCUGAUGCCAAUUGAAGGUGCGAAAAACACUAGAAGGGGGGGGGGGUUUGAAUAGAGUUUUGAAUAAAGGGUAUACUUUUGGAACUUUUUCAAAACUCAAGGAUAAGAACUAAGUGCUGAAGGAUAAGAAGUAAAGCACGCAAGUAUUUUAUCCUGGUUCACUUGAGAUAAAAGCUCAAGCUAAUCCAGUCCACCUGUGAAGGUGAUUUCUUCCUUCUUCUGAUGAAGGCAAUUCACUAAAAUCAAUGAGUGUUACAACUGCACUUUGCUACCUGCUAAGUGACUAACAAUACACUGAUUUUCUCACUAGUAUCCUCUUAAGAAGCUGAUCUACCGAUCCUCUUAAGACUAGCUAAACACUGAAUCAACCUUGAUUCAGUCCUCUCAAGAUCCGACCAACCUUGGUCUCUUAAGGAACUUACAAUGUAAUGUAAAGGGUUUCGGGUUUACAAUAAGUGCUUCUAAAAAGCUGAUAGUAAACUUAGAUGUUUAAGAACAGUGAAGAAAUAAUGCUAAGAGAUUGGUUUGUAAGUGUUGAAUGAUUUCAGCAAAGUUUCUUAGUCUCUUUCUUCUUUCUUCAGCCUUUAUAUACUCCAACACUUGUGAUGUAGCCGUUGCUAGGGUUUUGUCCGUUGGAGUGACAAUCUUGUAAUAUCAGACUUGCUAUGCUGAACAAGGUAGGUGGCGGACAGACUGAGGCUUGUACGAUGUUGUACUAUGAUAGCGACCUAUCCUUUCACCAGUUGACUUGAGAUCUGAAGGCUUCAGAUGAACGUUGGUGAAGCUUCUGAUCCUUGUCAGAUUAAAGCUUGGAUUCUUCUGACCUUGCAACUUCUGCUUCUGAACAAGUUCCUCAGAACUUCUGAACGUCAGAGCUAGAAUAGCUUGGGUCUUCAGAACCAACUUCUUGCAGGUCUUCAGAACUUGAGUCUUCUGCUUCUGGACCGUUCCACUGGAACAUCUGGUCUUUAGAACUUCUGACUCUGGUUCUUCAGAACCUCUUGAGAGCUUGUAUCUUCAGAACUUCUGAAGGAUUUGCCACUGUUCUGAACGAACAUGGUACGCUUUAGAGCUCUCUUUUUAGUAUCCCUUG
RNAcentral lists this long non-coding RNA (11420 nucleotides) under Lotus japonicus. RNAcentral's name for it is "long non-coding RNA (LJAP_LNC002031)". Lineage: Eukaryota; Viridiplantae; Streptophyta; Magnoliopsida; Fabales; Fabaceae. The record is from RNAcentral.